ACAAUCUGAUCGAGAACACAUCGGAAUUUCACAUUUCUACGAAGACCUUGACAGGGGAAAAACAGCAACAACGGAUUCUUACGCAGAAUCAACGCACUUCUGUGGCAAAACAUAGUGGAAUUUUGACAUGAACACAUGUCUUUGCUUUGAUCGAAAAAUGGAAUCAAAUCAAAGCAAGUGAAAGAAUCGAAACUCCAUGAAAUUGGAGGAGUUGAACAUGAGAUUUG
This 227-nucleotide unclassified non-coding RNA is filed under the name Hevea brasiliensis (rubber tree). Lineage: Eukaryota; Viridiplantae; Streptophyta; Magnoliopsida; Malpighiales; Euphorbiaceae. The record is from RNAcentral.